RNAcentral lists this ribosomal RNA (442 nucleotides) under uncultured bacterium. RNAcentral's name for it is "partial 16S ribosomal RNA". It matches the Rfam family "Bacterial small subunit ribosomal RNA", at positions 338 to 795 of the family's 1533-position model. The record is from RNAcentral.
CCUACGGGAGGCAGCAGUGGGGAAUAUUGGGCAAUGGGCGCAAGCCUGACCCAGCAACGCCGCGUGAAGGAAGAAGGCCUUCGGGUUGUAAACUUCUUUUAAGGGGGAAGAGCAGAAGACGGUACCCCUUGAAUAAGCCACGGCUAACUACGUGCCAGCAGCCGCGGUAAUACGUAGGUUGCAAGCGUUGUCCGGAUUUAGUGGGUGUAAAGGGCGUGCAGCCGGAGAGUCAAGUCAGAUGUGAAAUCCACGGGCUCAACCCGUGAACUGCAUUUGAAACUGUUUCCCUUGAGUUUAGGAGAGGUAAGCGGAAUUCCUUGUGUAGCGGUGAAAUGCGUAGAUAUAAGGAAGAACAACAGUGGCGAAGGCGGAUUACUGGACGGUAACUGACGGUGAGGCGCGAAAGCGUGGGGAGCAAACAGGAUUAGAUACCCUAGUAGUC